Molecule: ribosomal RNA, 253 nt
Filed under: uncultured bacterium
Lineage: Bacteria
Description: partial 16S ribosomal RNA
Rfam family: Bacterial small subunit ribosomal RNA
Source: RNAcentral
UACGUAGGGUGCGAGCGUUAAUCGGAAUUACUGGGCGUAAAGCGUGCGCAGGCGGUUGUGCAAGACAGGCGGGAAAUCCCCGGGCUUAACCUGGGAAUGGCGCUUGUGACUGCACGGCUGGAGUGCGGCAGAGGGGGAUGGAAUUCCGCGUGUAGCAGUGAAAUGCGUAGAUAUGCGGAGGAACACCGAUGGCGAAAGCAAUCCCCUGGGCCUGCACUGACGCUCAUGCACGAAAGCGUGGGGAGCAAACAGG